GCUGGCGUUGCUCCGAGAGAGGAGAACCAAGUAGAUCCCAUUUCUUAGCAGUGCCUGUAAGGCCCCAGAUGAUUUACUCAUGUCUCCAUUUGCAUUACAGAUAUCUGUGCCUGUUCGGGCGGAUCCCACAGAAGAUGAGUUAAAAUACAGCCUGAGAGCAGAGAGAAGUAUUGAGAAACCACAGAUACAUAAAUAUAACAGUUAAAAAUUCUACUGGCUCAGAGAACGAUGCAGUUGCACGGCUGAUAACAGCAUUGAUUAACAGCGAGAGAUAACGAGGCACUUUUGUUCUGGUUUUGCGUUCCCAGCAGAGCGGUGCUGCUGUGGGGAUGUGGGCUCAGCGCUGCCUGAUGGGGUCACAGUGCAGGGCUGCACGUCUCUUUGCAGCCCUUUGUGGCACAGAGGUGACGGCAAUUCACCACAUUCCUUAUCCACUGGGUUGGCUAAGGCUGGUAAAGAGGGAACGUGUCUUUUGUAGGGGGAAAAACUGGGCAGAGCAGAUGGAUGGCUUUAAUCCCUGAUGACUGACUGUCUCUCUGAGCUCCACCACAUGUUGCAUCUGCAGGUUGCUCUGUGCAUGAAAGCCAGCACUUCUGCCAAAUGCACCCACUGAAGCCCUGCUGCCCUGCUCAUCUCCUGGCUGCCACAGAAACCUGCUGGUAACAGAGGGAGGCUGCAGGGCCCACGCUGGGUCAGGACAUUGGCCUGUUGCUUUCAGUGAUGGUGUGGAGCCAUCAGCGCUGCUGGUUGCAGCUGGGAAGCAGCACUGAGUGUUGGGGUGGGGGCAGAAGGAAGGAUGUGCACAGAGAUCUGGGCAGCAGGACACCGGGAUGCAGAACUCCGCGGAAAUAAUGAAGGAACAAGAAAUGGUCUCUGUGAUUAUUCAUCAUCUGCUGAGCAAUCCGGAGUGAAAACAGGCGAACAAAAGCUCUGGAGGAAGAGGCUGGGAGAGCUGAAUGCGAACACUUCAGGGCUACUUAGGGCACGAAGCAGAAGCAGCUCUUCAGCGAUGCUGCGCACGCAGAGCGGGGCCCUCUGUGCACACAAACAAAUUAAUCAGAAGGAAACAGCAGAAAACUCCCUUCGAAUUAAUGAAGCAGUUUAACUUGGAGACUGUGGAAGAAAGACAAGAACUCCCGUUGUAUUUCUGUAACGUCGGGCCUGUAAUGUAUGUUCCCUGUGCUCACGAUUAAAGGGCAAUUCACGCCUGUGUAGGAAGAUUGCUUUUGGGGAAGCAUUCCCCCCUUCUGCAGGGCAGCAGCAGCUCGUUGCUGUGAUUAAAGCAGCCCAGACCGUGCACAGAGGGGCACAGCUCUGCAAUGGCGAGCAAAUGGACCAUAGGACUUAAAAUACCUCAAGUAUUUAAUGUCCUUCAGGAUUCCCAGCACAUAAAGCUCAGUUGAUUUCGUUCACCAGGUCAGAAAUAAUUGGUUUUCUCACCAGAGCUGAGCUCCAGGGUAAGAAUGAGGUGCUGUGCUGCAGAAUUACUGCAUUUUUGGUACUAACAAGAUGCAUAUUUUUGCAUGUACUCUACAACACUGCUAGGAUAUUUUGAUGGCAAAUAAGGAAAUCUUAGUUUUUAAACACGUGAUUUGAAGCCAUCUAGCCUGAGUGUUUACAUGCUACUUGAAAUGGGAUAAUACCCCAAGCCCCAGCAUGCUGCACCGGGGCUGGCAUUGCAGGCAGCAGCAGGGCUCCUGCAGGCUGUGCAUACCACAAGGAUUUACAUACAUGGAGAAAAGCCAAGCAAAUAAUCCUGACUGAACAGCGCUCCUGACGCUCAUAUUUAAACAACUGAUUGCCAGGGAAUGUAUUUUUCCUCUCUCUCUCUUCCUGUUUUUUUCUUGAUCAUUUGUUAAAUAUAUUAAGACAUUCUCUGCCUCAUGCUGGAGCUGAGACUGCACCUUAUUGCCUUUUGCAGUUCUCCAAAUGAAUCACUGCAUGUUUGCAACAGGUCCUGCUGGAGCCAUAGAAGUGAUAUGCAGAAAAUGUAACCUCUUACCCUCCACGUGCAUUCAAAUGAUGUCACACUGGGUGAAUUGCUCAGCAGCACACUGGGAUGGCCAAUGGCAGAACUGGCUGCAGUGCUGACACAGGCAGAGCUG
Long non-coding RNA from Coturnix japonica (Japanese quail), 2105 nucleotides. The record is from Ensembl. Lineage: Eukaryota; Metazoa; Chordata; Aves; Galliformes; Phasianidae.